CUCAUUUGUGAAGGCAGCCUGUACAUAAUCAUCGGUGUAUGAACCACUGCCCGUGUUGUCUGACAGGCAGCCCUUCCCCAGAGCUGGAGGCACUGGAAAUUUGUGUGAUGUUUAUAGGAGCUCCAGGCAAGUUUCCUGCAGACAGAGAUGGGGAAAUGCAUGUCUUCAAAUUCAUGGAUUAUAGGGAACUUCCCUGCUCCUCGUGGAGAUAGUACCAUGACUGUGACGUCUUUACUGAUCACUGUGAGGAGCUGCUGUUUAAUUAAAGUUGCACAUGAAGGAUCUAAAUCAGUGAAUUUGUAUCUCUGAUUUAGAAUAAAUAGCUAUUAACUG
Poecile atricapillus (Black-capped chickadee) is the source of this 333-nucleotide long non-coding RNA. RefSeq lists it as uncharacterized. The record is from RefSeq and is a predicted model, not a curated record. The transcript is spliced from 4 exons. NCBI's taxonomy places the organism in Eukaryota, Metazoa, Chordata, Aves, Passeriformes, Paridae.